Molecule: long non-coding RNA, 1006 nt
Filed under: Crocodylus porosus (Australian saltwater crocodile)
Lineage: Eukaryota; Metazoa; Chordata; Crocodylia; Crocodylidae
Description: lncRNA (ENSCPRG00005017572.1)
Source: RNAcentral
GAAAAAGCUGGUAGAGCAGCUCUGCUAUUCUACAGAUGAUUGAGCCUUACUGGGGUAGUUUAUUUGGAGCAGUAUGCUGAAAUGCAUGCUGUAAUACAGUCCAGUUCCAUGACUGCAGAUUCCAGACAGGCCAGAUCUUUAGAAAGCCUGUCCGGUGAUAUCAUACACCACAGCCUAGCUAGGGAUUCUGGGAGCCAGUUCCAAGAAGAUCUCACACUCCGAGCAGGACAAAUAAAGCGUUCUCACAUGUUUUUCAACUAGGCAGCUGCAUAAAGUUCAGCAGGAAACUCUUUGUGCUACAUGACCAGGUCACAGACAUAAACAAAAGGGCACUGAGAGACUGAGUCAACAGCCUGUUUCUCAUGUCCAUCUGUGUCAUAUUCAUGUUGCUGAAAUCAAGAUGCUCACAAGAGGAAUCUGAAAUGAAAUGCUCAUACUACAAAAUUUGCACUUGCAAAAGUUUCACAGCCGCUAAAACAACAGCUAAUGGACUUCACAAGAAUGGGAACUCCAUAGAAUCAAACUUCAGUACAAUCGAAAGCCAGUCAAAACACUCCCCUUGUGUCCAAGGGCUUUCACUUGCUGCUAAACUGGAUAUGGGAUUUGUUUUAAGAUCCUGUUGAUUUUUAAAGCACUGCUCAAUUUAGGCUCCCAUAUAACUAAAUGAGGUUUUGGUUCCCUGUUGGCCUGGUCAUGUUCUGUGUUCAGCAGAUAUUGGACUCUGGCUCAUACAGAAAUACCAUGCCACUAUAAAUCAUUAGGUGUCAGAGUUGUUUCAUACUAUGUCCAGCAGCUCUGGAACAUUUUGCCAGCAGAGAUUCAGGAAACAUCAAUUUUGUGACUACUGUCAAGUCAAGAUUAAAAGCACAUUUCCGUACUAAUUUUCUUUCUGUUCUUGAUAGGAGUAAUUAUUUCAGGAUUUGCUUUGCAAUACAUUCUUCUGUUUUCAGCACAGAGACAAUGUACUCAUCUUACACUCAACAUUGCAUAAAAUACAGCUGAAAAU